Molecule: ribosomal RNA, 355 nt
Filed under: uncultured bacterium
Lineage: Bacteria
Description: bacterial SSU rRNA
Rfam family: Bacterial small subunit ribosomal RNA
Source: RNAcentral
GGACCCGCACAAGUAGUGGAGCAUGUGGUUUAAUUCGAAGAUACGCGCAGAACCUUACCAACACUUGACAUGUUCGUCGCGACUUUAAGAGAUUAAAGUUUUCGGUUCGGCCGGACGAAACACAGGUGCUGCAUGGCUGUCGUCAGCUCGUGUCGUGAGAUGUUGGUUAAGUCCCGCAACGAGCGCAACCCUCACUUUUAGUUGCCAUCAUUUAGUUGGGCACUCUGAAAGAACUGCCAGUGAUAAGCUGGAGGAAGGUGGGGAUGACGUCAAGUCCUCAUGGCCCUUACGUGUUGGGCUACACACGUGCUACAAUGGUAGAGACAGAGGGCAGCCACCUGGGUGACAGGGAGCG